UACAGAGGUCUCAAGCGUUGUUCGGAUUCAUUGGGCGUAAAGGGUGCGUAGGCGGCGCGGUAAGUCGGGUGUGAAAUCUCGGAGCUUAACUCCGAAACUGCAUUCGAUACUGCCGUGCUUGAGGACUGGAGAGGAGACUGGAAUUUACGGUGUAGCGGUGAAAUGCGUUGAUAUCGAUAGGAACUCCGGUGGCGAAGGCGGCAUACUGGACCACAUCUGACGCUGAGGCGCGAAAGCCAGGGGAGCAAACGGG
Molecule: ribosomal RNA, 253 nt
Filed under: uncultured bacterium
Lineage: Bacteria
Description: partial 16S ribosomal RNA
Rfam family: Bacterial small subunit ribosomal RNA
Source: RNAcentral